CAUUUAGUACCUAACUUUUGCCAGGAAACACAAGGAAUUAUUUUUUCUUCUAUAGAUUAAAUGAAUCCUGUAUAAUAUAACUGGAAUUUAUCCACUUCUGGCUCCCAUUAAGCUUUUGAUUUCAAGAGUAUCCAGAGGCAAUGAGUUUCACGUGUUACAUAAAAAUGUACUUCCUUUUAAUUGUUUAAAAUUCACUGGCUCUAAGAUGUAUUCAGUUCUUGUACUAGGAAAAAAUAUCCUGAUCUUCAAGUCUCUGUAGAGUCCUUUCCUCAUUGAUCUCUGUACUGAUGUCAUCCUCUAUCUUCUGCAUACUUUUAUCUUUUCUUCUUCUGUCUCUCUUUUCUCUCAGCUUCAUGCUGCUUUCGGAUGCUCAGAUCUCCUCCUUUUUCUUCAGAUCUUUUUUUUGAAAAUCCACUUCCCUUUGUGAACCUUAUUACCUGACGGUCUCCUAAUGGUAUCCAGCUCUGCAGCCUUCUAGACCGUUUUCCAGGGAAUUGCCUUCCUGUGAGUUAAAAGUUCUUAGACCUUGUCUUCCCAAAUAUGCUUGUGUUGCAUGACAUGCCUCACACUCUGCAUGAUUGCCAACCUCGUUACGGUGUCCUUAAUUAUUGCGAUGCCUUACAAAUAAGCUGUAAAAUAUUACUUUUAAAUAAUAUUAUAGGUAUUUUUACCCAUCUUGAGAACAUAUCCUGGAACUCUAUGAAGAAUAUGUUACACUACACAUACAAUGCUAUGUUUACAGAAAAAUCAGCUCUUGUGAUCUACGUAAGUAUUGUAUUAAGACAGUGUGACUGAAAAAUUAUCAGAGUAAAGACCAUCAACCAUAGCCACAAUGUGGUAUAUGAGGCAUAGCAAGGAUGGCACCUUGUAACAAAGUGUUGUGGGUUUUGCUUGUUGUUUUAAUAUUUUUGUACUAGGCAUAAAGACUAUGAGUAAGUGAAUAUGCUUAGAAAAACAUUGCAGAAUAUUUGCGUCAGCUAUGAAGUUUCUAAACAUCUGGUAUUGAAGAAAAGGUUCAUCAAUUUGUUUAAAGCCAUUAACCAAUACACAGUUUAUAACUUACUUCAGCAUUAGAGUAAUAAAACCUGUUGUGAGCUCCCCUAUAUGGUGUCAUUCUAAUUUAAAACAAAUAUUUUUUGUUUUAUGACUUCACCUUUUCCAUGUUUCCAGUCACACAGUGUUCCUUUUUCGUCUGACUUUGCAUUUCUUUUGAUUUAUACUCCCCUGAACUGUAGGCUGACAUAAAGGGUCCUUUAGGUUGAAUGAAAGAAGAAUUAUCAAUUGCCCAAACUAAGAUUUAUCAAGAAAAAAAAAGUAAAGGGUAAAAAAAAAGAAAACUAGCUUACUCAACAUACAAAAAUCAAAUUAAAAUUUUCUCUGUAUUUUUUGUAAGUUCAGUAUGAAGGGCUCAUUUAGACCUGUCUGGUUUUACGUUUUAUUGUGAGUUGUGUUGGAUUCUAUCAUAUUGAUUGCUACUGCCUACUCCUUUAGUCCUUGAACAGACAGAUAUUAAUGAAUGGAAGUACUGAAAGGGUGAAUAUACUUAGUCCCUCUGAGUACCAGUGGCAGAACAUGCUCAAUAGUUUACACUUUGGCACAGGCACCACUUUCUACAGCAGCCUGAUCUGAAGUCAAGGGCUUGUUAUUCCUUAGCAUUUCACAGACAGCAUGCAUAAAGCUGUCUUGAUUGUAGAGGUUUUUUGGUUUGAGUUUUUGGUCUUUUGGUUUUUUGUUUCUUUUGAGAGAAGGACGUUGUGGAAUUUUUUGACUUGGGUUUGGGGUUUUUUCGAUUUUUUUUUUUGUUGUUAACAUUGUCAAUGAUUGAUGAGGAAUUGUGCAAUCUCUUCUCUUGGCUAUAUACACCUGAAUAAGAUUUAUUUACCAGAUUUAUAAGUAUAGUUGUCAUUUCGACUGCAAGGCUUUAGGAGUAUCUACUUCUGAGUAUUUGUCAUUCCUGGUGCCUGGCAGAGGCAAAGCUACUUAAUAUAGGCUGUUGCUUAAUUCUGCACUGAACAAGUCUUGAGGACCCUUCACAUUUCUGCUGCUUUACUUUAUUUCUAAGGCUCUGACAAUCAGAAUGAAGCUGAGUGCAUAGUUUUAUUUUGGAGUGUUGAAGAUAACAGUAUAAAGCUCCAACAACAGCUCUCUUGCUCUUAGCUUCUGCAGUACUGUAGCUUUAAACACUGGCUUUAGUCAUAAUAUACACCAUAUACAUUACUCACUAGCAUUAUUGUUUAGAUAAAGAUGAAACUAGAUUAUUUUACAGGUUUCUCAUGGGUAAAGAGGUUUAAUCUGUCCCAUAAAUAGCCCUUCGUAAGACACGAAACACAAUGUUUCAUGGAAUUUGAUGACACCCUGCUCGUAGGUGCGAUAUACGGUGCUGCAGUCAGCUGUAGCAUCCUAAACAGUUUAGGAUGCUGUGUCUGUAGGAGAUGACUUUUCUUCCAUGGUUUGAAAUCAGCCUACACCUUCAGAGCAGUGUUGAAUGUUACUUAGCUUGGAGCCAGAGACUGAGGUCUCAGCUGAGAAUUCCUGAUCUUGGAAUUUGUUUUUCCUACAAAAUCACAGGUUUUAAACCCAGAUGGUUGUUCUAAUUAGCUAGUCUAAUUGACCUGUCAAAGAGAAAAAAUUAACUUGUAAUUCCUGUACUGACGGCAAUAAUUUCUGUUCUGGGUAAAGCAUAUAUUUUAAAAUUAGCACCAAAUCUGAAUGUAAAGACAACAUUCCACCAGUCUUGAAAAUUUACUAAAUCCUCAGAUAUAUCGUUACACUGAUUAGUUACCAUUUUGUUUAAACGCUGCUAUGUCAUGAUCCUCAUUUGCUUUCAUUUGUGUAUUUGUCCAAAAGAGCUUGACUGUUAGUGUUACAGCACAGUAAAGGCCCACGAUCACUUCCCCAGAAUGUUUUGUGAAGACAGAAGGGGGACCAUGUGGUGGGAGGUGUCACAGAACUUUAUUACAUGACCUAACAUUUGAUUGCUUUGGGGGUUUUCUGGUGACCUCCGUUUAAACAUUGGAAAAAUAACUGUUAGAUCCACCCCAUCUGUAGUUCAGGGCUACCAGAUAGGAAGGAAUAAAGCUCCAUAGCAUUUGGGAGUGGAAGGGGAUGCCUUAAUCCAUAAGAGAUGGGUACAACUCAGAUUCACAGGUACUAUAUUUAUUUUGCAGCUGAUGGAGGGGACAGGAGCAGCUGUAUGGAUUAUGUGAGGGAUGGUCUGCCUUCUGACUGCGUGGCUGUCUUGUGAAUAGACUAUCUGGAAAGGCCGUCUGGAUAUCCACAAAAAGCACGUAUGACUGUGGAUAUGUAAGCCAGUAUGUUGAGGGUCACAGAAUGCCAGGUCCUACAGUUGGUCCUGAAGGCAGCUGAAUGACCCUAAUGCUGGAGUAGAGAGAGAGAAGCUCAGGGAGGGCCAAUUUUCCAGUGUCCUUUCCUCCUGUAUGCUCAUUUUUGAUCCAGAGAAUAGCUAAUCAUCUCUCUAGAAGAAUUAAUACUACAUUCUUCGUGUCAGUUAGGAUUUCCCAAAAGAAACAGCCUCUUCUGGAAUUUAAGUCCCAAGUAAUUGUCGAAAAUCAUGUACCAUGACAAUACGACCACCAACAUAAACCAAGAUUUCCAUUCUGAUUCCUUCCUUUUUCUUCAACAUCUUUUAAACUGAUUCUAAAUUUUGUCGUUUAAUUUGUGGAGUGAAUCUUAAAAGAUUUGAUUUACAUAUACAUUCAGGGGGUAAUAAUGAACCUAAAAGCAUAAAAUGGGUAGAGAAAAACUGUUAAGAUCUUGACAAUAUCAGUUUAGGCUCAACAUUCAUUUUGGGCAAAGACAUAAAUUACCUGCAACUGACCCUCCCCAAACACACCUCAUACACACCACUCACUGUAAAUGAGUAACAAUCUUCCUCAGCUCAUUUUUUGACAGAACACUACAUUGAGUAUGGAGACCUCCUUACAGUUCUGAUGGUGACCCGCUGUUCUGACCUUAGGAAAACGUUCUGCCCCUGCUACGGACAAGACUACUGCCAGUUCUGCCGGAACAGGGCAAACUUCCAGACAAACAAAAUGAAAUUCACAAAGGAAACAGUUAAAUUUUCUGCCUGCCUUCACUGUCAUAGAAAAUGCUAAACACAUUUGUAAGUUAUAUAAAACUGAGUCAGUUCAUAUUUUCCCCUCCUGGUUUCUAAGCCCAUAACAGCAAAAGGACCUUGGGACAUCUCUAAUCUCUCAAGAGUUUAGCAGUAAAAAUAAAAAUCCCCAGCAGAAAACAACACUCUACACCCUCCCACUGCUGAGCAAACGAGUUUCCCGUUUUUCUCACUUCUCCUCAGACUAAACAAUGUUAAAUUUACAAAUGUGACAGCUAUUUAUAGCAAGGACUCUCCCCUAGGAACCACAGAGGUUUGGUCUAUAUCAUUGUCCAUAAUCCACAGGAUGGCUUUCAACCCAACACGUCAAGUAAUUAGAAGAGUAACCUCCUGCCUUAACCGAUGCAGCGAGGCAUGCUACAGCCCUACGCUGGAUGGUGUGCAUGGGCAGGGGGGGGUGUUCCUCAGCUGUAAAUUAACCUCUGAUUUCAUUUUUUUCUUGUUUGCCACGAAUAGUAAUCGAUAACGUUACGAGCAUCGUGCCCUCUAGCAGCAGUGUGCAGAACACGAGGAAGCAGCCUGCUGCGUAGGUGCUGCAGGGGAGGCAAAUUAAUGGAUAUCCAACAGUGCUGAUAAUCCUCACAGCAGACACUGAAGGAAUUAAACUGCUGAGUUGCACCUGCAGUGAGGGGAAAGGGGGCUAAAAAGCCACAUGGGGAGCAGUGGAAUAACCGGUGUGAGGCUGUGAAAACAGCAGAAGGCAGUUCAGAUACAUAAGUGCAGGGCAUGAGGGGAAGGAAAGGAUUAAAGGAGGAAAGGUCUCAAGUUAGUUUGCUAGGCUGGAUUUGAGGAAGUGGGUAAAGGCAUAAAUAGAAGGUGGUGGGAACCGGCAUCGGCUGAGCCUGGACUGGGGAAGGUGUGGUACUGGAUUGGGCUCUGCAGACUGGGCUCAGGGGAGAGCAGAGAAGAGGUUUAGUGAAAAACUGUCUCUUUCCUUUUCUCCCUGAAGCAGCAAGGAAAAGGCAUUUAGGCUGUGUACUUGAAAGCUCUUCAUCCACAGUCUGUAUGCUGCUUCAUCCACUCAUCUCAGUAGACACGGCAAAGAAGCAGAAUGGCAGGAGAGAGAAAAAUCAGAACCUCAGUGCACAAGAGUCCCUUCCAGUCUCCCGAGAACAGCGUGGAGUAAUUCAUUACCAGUGGAAUUCAGUAAAGCAGCUCCCAGGUGCUCUCAGUUGGGCUAUUUACUGAGCCCAAACACCUUCCUUUGUGCAUCCAGUCACACUUCUUCAUCUUCCCAACCAUGUUUGUAACCCUCUGAAUCUGGGGAAACUGCUUGUGCUGGUCUCAAACUGCUCAAGCGAAAAGAAAUGAGACUAGGAAGGGAGUGGAGGAUGCAGCUCCAGGCAGCCCCGGGCCACACAUCCCCAUGGUGGCCCUGAAAAUGGAAGCACCAAGGAGCAGCAGCACCCUUACUGCUGAACAAAGCAUUAAACGAGCCUCUCUGUCCAAUUCUGAGAGCCACGUCUUUUAGCACAGAUGUUAACAAGAUUGUUACCAUGUGAUUUCUUAGCUGUCUGUUUAAAACCUUCAUGAGACAAACCUCAAAGGUCUGGGAUGUGAAGGCAGAUGCAUUGGAAUCAGAAAUGUGGUUAAAUGAAAGUUCAUCAUUAAGGUAACAUUUUCAGAAACAGCUAAAUGCCACUUUUAAAACUGAUUUUCUCGGUCAGACUAAGAUCUCCAAAGGGGAAUGCAGUAUUGAGGAUAAGAUUCCCUUUUACAGCUUCCAGGAUGAAGACAAAGCAGCAUGAAGUGGGGAGCUGGAAAACUCUGGCUUGCCCCUCUCUGUUCUGUAUAGAGGCAGGGAAAUAAGGCAGGUUAUGCAGAGAGCAGAGGCAACACAUGGGACAAAGCCUAAAACAGAACAGAAUUAGAAGAGAGCAUAUCUGACAAAAUUAUGUAGAGAUUUCCUAGUUUCCACUUGUAUUUAAAGUUAUUUUGCAUUUCACAUCUGCAGUUUUAUUUUGUGGCCCCGUUAGUUCAGUUUUCACGCGUGAAAAAGUCUUACGUGUUUCUAAAACAACAACUAUGCUUUUAAAAGAAUAUUCCCCCCACCCACCAGAUUAUAACAGACGUGCAAUAUUAAUUUAGGGUGAGUGGGCACAGAUGUUAUCAAAAUCACCCUCUUACCUGCCAACUCCACCCAAUUUUCCAGUGCUUGGGUAUUUUCUUCCGCUGCUGUGUGGAAUUUCUUAUUGUAAUGUUCUUAUUUUUUUGGCUUUUUUUUGGCUUUUUUUUUCCCCUCUGAUGUUUUAUCCAGUUGCUAAGCAUACAGCCUCUUCCUCUGAUCUGGUGUCUGAGCUAGAACAACACUUCAUGACAAUUAUUGAGAAGUAGCCUCUGAAGAUGUGAUAUGAUUAGGGCGAGGGGCCAGGGACUUGUGCUGAGUGCUGGAAGAGCACUUCAUAACCGCCACAAAU
Molecule: long non-coding RNA, 6552 nt
Organism: Cuculus canorus (common cuckoo)
Lineage: Eukaryota; Metazoa; Chordata; Aves; Cuculiformes; Cuculidae
Exons: 6
Source: RefSeq, a predicted model, not a curated record